AAAAAUUCUCCUCGUUCCCUAAAAGUCUAGGGUUUCUCAAGAAUCGCUAAACCUAGAUCCCAAUCCUUCAAAAUCUCUAUUUAACCUCUCUAGGAUUUCGAUUUUCGAGGAUUCGCUUCAAAAUUUAGUAAUUUUUAGUGGAUUUUGCUUGUCUCGUAUCCUUCAAUUGUUGUUCGGUUCUGAAAAUAAUUUGGAAUUUUAGGCAUUUUCAGAUUAUUUGGUUUUGUUUGAGUGCAAUUUCCUCUAGUUACGGUUUCAGUUUGAAGGGUUAAGUGCAAUUUCGAAUUUUUUUAUAAAAUUUAAAUUAAAAUUCCUUAGACGAUUGGGCGUUUAAUAAUUAAUUGAUGGCUAGCGAUACUACAACGGCGGCCGCAGCUGCGGAAGAAGCAGAGGCGAUGGAGGAGUAUGAUAGCAAUCCAAAUGAAGUGAAACGCUCUCUUGUGAUGCGCAGAAGGGAUGCCAGCGAUGAGGAGGAGGCGGAGGAUUAGAGAGAUUCAGAGCUUCCAAUCGCUCAAAGUGUCUACAUUCCUGCGGGAGAAGCGGAGGCUGUGGAUGAGUAUGAGAGCGAUCCAGAUGAAGUGACACACUCUCUCGUUCUGCGCAGAAGGGAAACAAGCGAUGAUGAGGAGGUUUUUGUUUGGCAUAGUUAAGUGGUUAGUUUGAAGAUGGCUACUGAUUAUGCAGCUAGGUACGCAUUAGUGUUUGUGGAUUUCUAAAUGCUUUCUGUCAGAUGUGACUCGAUUAUUACUAGAAGUAUAUGGAUCUUACACUUAAUUAAUUAUAUAUCCAUUUAUAAUGUUCAAAAUGAUAAUGUACUAUUGCUUGAAAUUAUGCUUUCAAGACAUCAUUUUGAAAAUCCAUGGUUGUAAUGUGUCUCUAAAUUCAGUAAUACAAGUUCUGUCAAUUAGUGUUGGAUGCAGUGACCUGAAUAGUUUAAUAUUCAUUUGCAGAACAAAUUUCCGUGCGUUCUGCUGGAAAUUUAAUUAGCUUCAUUUGAGCAUUAAUUAGACUUCUCUUGCAUUGAAUGAAUGGAUGAGUGCUAAUCCAUGCAUGCACAAUGAAUGCUAAAUCUAAGGUAUGGUAAAAUGUCAGCAAGCUUGGCCCAAAUUAUCAAGCUGGUUUGGUGGCUACUAGAUUUGUUCAUCCGGAUUUUGGACCAUUUUCCUUGACAAUGAGAAAAGCUCCAAGAAAUUGAAGACUCACUGAAAGCUCCAAGUUUCAGGUAACUCUUGUGUUGUGUGCUCGGAGUAUUCUCUAUUGUAUUUUUUUGUUUGUUAUUUAUUCGACGUAUUGCUAGCAGAGAUCUUGGGUGGGAACCAAAAAUUCCCAACAAUUGUCAAUUGUUUUAAACUCUAUUCUGAACAGAGCAUGAAGGGAUUCACUUAUCUAAUUAUGUCUUUUAUGCUUUAACUUCACUUGAUUACAUCUUUUCCAUCACCUUUAUUAAAGUUGUAUAUGUUGGAGUAUUAGGUUCAUCAUAAGGAUCAUAUUAUGGCUAAGGAAGGAGCACAGUUUAUCAGCUGCACUGAAGUGUAGCAUAGAAUUUGGAUUCAAAACUGAUGCAAGGCUGUUGCUGUGUAAUUGCAUGCCAUGCUUGCUAGUGCGCUCUAACAGAUUGCUGAGCUGGCACCGGAUGUUUUUAACUAAUAUUAGUAAUUAGUCUAGAGUGUUCGAUUUAUUCUAUAAAUGGCUCAUUUGAGCUUACAACCUUUAAAGUUGUAUCACACGAUUCUGUUACUUCUAAUACGGAUUUUCUCUAUUCCUUUUUCUAUCACUUUCUCUUCCAUUUCAUGAUCCCCAAACACCAUCAAUCCAUGAUUUUCUAGAGUAUUAGCCGUCAUUCCAUGAUUUUCUUGUUAUUUUUUCUUUCACUUUCUCUUCCAUUUUCCCACUCCCCAAACACCACCAAUCCCUGAUUUUUGGAGUAUUAGCUGUCUAUUUCUACAAACAUAGAAGUGCUGUUUGUUUGUCCAAUUACUUUCGAGAAACAAAACUCUCUGUCCUGUGGUCUUUUCGUUUAUUGACUUGUGAGUAAAUAAGAUAUUGGGCCAAUGGACUUAACGUGACAAGUUCUUGAAUUGAAUGGCUCCUCUUUUCUCCAUAAAUCUUUGCUUAAUUUUUUUGUUCCCUCAACUUUUUGGGCCUUUUGAGUUAAAAUUCUUUUUUUGAUACAUUAUGCAAAAAUUAUGAUGAAAAUGAGUUACUUUAGAAGAUCAACAAAUUUUUAUUACAUGACAAGACAAUUAUACUUAGAUUACUCUUAUUUAGUUGAAUUAUAGGUAAUAAAAUUAGUUUAACAAAAUCUAACCCGUAAAUAUUUCUUAUCACAUGAUUAACGUACUUAAAAAUCUUAACUGAUUGGUCGCUUGUUUUACAAUUCUUUUAUAUAUCUAUGAAACUUUCAGCUUCCUAACACAUCAUAUUGUUCUCAAUUCGUCUAAAUUAUUAUUUUUUUUUCGAACACUGCGGCAACAAUCAGUAUAAAAUAGAAUGAACUCAUUUAAUGAAAAAAUUUCUAGAUGCUUUCAUGGCAGAAUCUCAUUGAUCUAUUUCUCUUCACACCUUAGGUUCCUCUAACAAACUUACCUCUUAACUCUCAUGUCCGAAUUUAAACUUGAAAGAUGUUCCCCAUCCCACGUGUUCCCAAAUCUUCGUAUUUCCAAACAAACCCCUGCCACAUAGAGAAGAGGAUGAUUCCUACAAAGCCACGUAAUCAAGUGAUAGGAUGGCUUUUAUUGCAAACUGUAUGAUUCCUCUAACAAACCCAUUAAUUAUACUCACCUUAUGCCAUGUUUCUGGUGUGUCUUCACAAAUUCACCGAUACAAAUUAAUUUCUACCAAUAUUACCAAAUGAUUGUAUUUUACGUUUCUAUUUACUUGUAAUAAAGAUCUUCUGUGUGUGUGUGUGUGUGUGUGAUAUAAGUGUUGAUUUUAAAGUAAGGUAAACAUAGGAGCUUUCUUUCUUUUACUCUGUAUUUCAUGGUCAUUCAAUUUUAUUGGUUACAAAAUUCUCUAGGAUUGCAUGUAGAUUAUACUUUUAUAUACUUUUUUUUUUCUUCUUUCGCAUUAUUUUUCUGGGUGAACAUAUUAUUUUCGUCAUCAUCUCUAUAACAAUGAAGUGAAAAUAGUCCUCGUUUAUAGUAUUGACAGCAAUGUUAUACUCAAUAAAACGCAUAAAGCACGCAUGAUUUAGCCGAAUCUAAGCGAUAAGUGUUUCCAUGUGAGCCAUAAUUUGGGAAAAAGGCCAAUUCAAGUUAAAGAUCAGAAAAGUCUGUCCCGCACGAAUACAAUAAUUCGAGCCACGCAUUCAUCAAACGCGCGCAUUGCAAAUACACUUCAAUAUGUUGUCUCAUAGGGAGAAAUCCUUCACUCUUUGACGUAAUGCUUGGGCAACGUAAAUUAGUCCCAUUUUUUUAUGCAUGAGAGACAAUUAGUCCCAUUUUUUGCCGUCAACUCUUCUCAUCUACGUCAGGUAAUGUGUCUUUUAUUUGGCAUGAAAAAGCCAAUACUUGCACGAGUGUAGCAUCACUGAUUUGUGUAAUUUUCAGGACUGGUAAAUUAUCUCAAUUUUUAAAAAAAUAUAAUUACAAUUAUAUAUCGAACACCACUAAUUCCAAUAAUUUAUCCAAAAAUAUCUUUGAGUUUCAAGGAAUUAAUGUAGCACGAAUGGCCAAGUUUUUCACCUUUUUAGAUAUUUGAUAUAUGUCAUGUUCUAACUUAGUACGAGAAGAAAAUUAUAGAAUAAUUUUUUUUUUUAAAUUAGUGGAAUUAUUUUUCGAUAAAAUUAUCACAAUCACAUUUAAAAAUAUUCUUUGGAUUUUCACUAUUUCUACUGUUAUUCUUUAAACUCUUUUCUGAACAGAGCAUGGAGGGUCACUUAUCUAAAUAUGUUUUGUGUGCUUUCACUUCACUUGAUUCAUCUUGUCCCUCUUUUAUAGCUUCUAUCUCGUGUGAGCUUAGAACCUGCAACUCGUAUUUUACGUUUCUAUUACUUUCUCUUUCAUUUUCCCGACUCCCAAACACCAUCAGUCCUUGAUGUUAUAGAGUAUUAGCUGUCUAUUUGUACAAACAUAGAGCUACUGUUCGUACUUUAGAUCUUCAGAUGGUUAGCUAACUAUUGUUUGAAUAUUAAAAUUAAUUUGUUAAAUAAAUAAAGAAAACAAGAGACAAUUACCAUACAUAUUCCAUUAUAAUUAGUCACCGUCCAAUUGUCUCCGCUUCCAUUGAAUCUGUUGAUUCAUGCUUUAAUGAAGUGAAACGCUUAACACUCUGUUCUGAUCCGCAGGAGAGGAGGAAAAACAUAAUUUUAUUAUUUCAUUCCUGACACGGGCAAAGAGCUUUCUUAGCCGGCUUGGCAGCUAAUUCCUUAAAAUUUGUUACAUUUCAUUUAAAUGAUGAAUGCGACAUGAAGCUCUAUAAAUAGUUUAAUUUGUAGAAUUGUUAAAAAUUUAAAUUUCAAGUAAGGUAGAUAAAAUGAUUGAUGUUUUUCAAUAUUUAGUAAUGAACAUGUGUCAUGUUACUAUGAGUGAAUGAAUGAAAUUUUCUAUAGAAAAUACAAUGCUAGUAUUAAAAAUUUUAAGUGCGAAUCCAUUUAGUGUACGUUUUCCCGACUCCCAAACUCCACCAAUCCUUGAUUCUUUUCCUAGAGUAUUAGCUGUCUAUUAUUACAAACAUACAGUUUGUCCAAUUACCAUCAAGAAACAACAUACCUUGUCCUGGGGUCUCUUUGAUUAUUGACUUGUGUGACUUGUAAACGGGGGGGCAUUCCCUUCUUGAAGAAAGAAUGCAAAGAGCCCAAGAAAGUACUAAUAUAUUAUCUCAAUAUUUUGAUGAAUGUGACAUUACUGGUUUGCAUAAUUUUUUGGACUAAUAUAUUAUCUCAAUUUUAAAAAAAAUGUAAUUGCAAUUAUCAAACACGACUAAUCCCAACAAUUUAUCCAAAAAAUUUUGUUUCAAGAAAUGUAGCAUUUAUGAUAGAAUGGCUAAUUUUUUCAAUCGACUUUCUGGAUAAAUGAUAUUUUUUUGAUAGAAAUGUUUCUUACUUAUUACAGGAAGAAAAUUAUAGAAUAUUUUUUUGAAUUAAUAGUAUUACUUUACGAUAACACUAUCACAAUCUAAUUUUAAAAAAAAAAAGUUAUUCUUUAAAUUUCGCAUUACUAUUCCUACUUUUCUUGUUAUACUACUUUUCUUGUUAUAGUUCAAUAUCUGCUGUCCCACUAAGCAUUGUUAAAUUCAUACGAUAAAAUGAGUACUUAUAUUAAAAAAACAAUCAAUCUCAUUGCGUGCUCUUUCAUUGACAUAGGCAAUUUGCUGUCAACUUGUGGCACUUUUAUGAAUUUUCAAGACAAGUGAAUUUUUCAAAUUUAAAAGAAAAAAAUACAGAAAUGUAAUUUCAAUUUAUCCAAAAAUUUGAGUUUCAAGGAAUACAGCAUUUAUUAUGUCAUGUUAAUAUAGAGAAGAAAAUUUUAAAAACUUAUUUUUGGAUGAAUAAAAGUAUUUUCUGAUAAAUAUUUCACAAUCAAAUUUAAAAAAUUUCACUCCUCCUGGUACAUAAUUUAAGAAUUUAACAUUAUAAAUUAAUCUUUUUAAUCAAAGUAAUAAUCUCUCCUCGGUCUGCAAAUGCUAAAAUUUAAUAUUAUAUCCAUUGACGAUAUUUGCUCCAAAUUCACGAAAAUAAAAUUUCUAACAGAAUUAUGAAAUUCGUUACUAGAAAUUUGUAUAAAAGUUGUGAGAAUAGAAGGAAUGGUCAUAGGAAAUUAAUAUAUCCCUAUCCGAUGCAAAAAUGAUUGUAAAGAAAAACAAAAGUCACGGGCUUAUUUAGAAAAAAGAAAAAAUUACAUUCCAUUUUCCAGUUAUUAAAGUAAUUCUAAAAUCGCUAGGAUCACAAAGGAUAGGCUUUGGUUGACUGAGGUCAGCCUUAACGCAUGCCGGUCUUUUUCUCCUCUACAUUCUUAGAAAUUUUGGUUUCACUAUAAAUACUCGGUAUAUAGCAAACUUAUAAGUGUUCUUGCAUUACCCAUCCAACUAAGCACACUGUCACGGGACAAGAGGUUUCGAGCCCGUGCGGCACUCUCGCAUCCCAUACUACGAGAGUAAGCCUAGUGGAAGUGGCACAAUUUCGACUGGUUUUGCCCUGCCUUAGGCUCGUCAGGAGAACGGCUUCAGUUCCCAACCAGUGUGCGUCAGGAUUUUCCUAGACCCCUCUUCAGCGUUAAGUCCUCGACUAGCGACAAGCUCCCCAAACUCAACCGGGUCGGCCUGCCUGAACUCCAAAGAGUCUAGGGCGUUGUAUUCCCCACACACACAUUCCUGAAGCACGUCUCCAACAAUCAGCACAACUGUCAUCGACACUAGCGUACAAGCGCAUAUCUUGGGUGUCACGAUUGCGGUCCGUGACAUUCUCCCACCGCCAUAACCAUGCACGUCCUCGUGCAUGCAGAGUACGCCUCGCAAGUGUGCACUUCCGCGCGAAAACGUGAAGAUCGGCUUGCCAAUCUCAACCCAUGAACUCCCUGCCUACUCGUCCUUGAUCCGUGGAGAGGACCCGCGUGCAGACACUAUCCACUUAGUGCGAAUGCUUGGGGGUAUGAGAACCCGCCUGUUCGUCCCGCUUGUCGACCCUUGCGCUCAAAAGGGUGGGGACCUGCGUGGUGCGGCAUUGGAGCGCUUGGCGAGCUCGCGACGAGGGCUUCGAGAGAUGACAAGCGCGGCUCUGAUACCAUUUGUCACGGGACGAGAGGUUUCGAGCCCGUGCGGCACUCUCGCAUCCCAUACUACGAGAGUAAGCCUAGUGGAAGUGGCACAAUGUCGACUGGUUUCGCCCUGCCUUGGGCUCGUCAGGAGAACGGCUUCAGUUCCCAACCAGUGUGCGUCAGGAUUUUCCUAGACCCCUCUUCAGCGUUAAGUCCUCGACUAGCGACAAGCUCCCCAAACUCAACCGGGUCGCCCUGCCUGAACUCCAAAGAGUCUAGGGCGUUGUAUUCCCCACACACACAUUCUUGAAGCACGUCUCCAACAAUCAGCACAACCGUCAUCGACACUAGCGUACAAGCGCAUAUCUUGGGUGCCACGAUUGCGGUCCGUGACAACACGCUUACAAUAUAAAUACUCUCAUCUCAUGGAAAGAGUUCAUUCUCUCAGGAUGAUGAGCAGAUUUCUCUUACUCUAUUGUUUGAUUCUUAUUUCCUUAUUUAUCGCGGUAGCAACAGCCAACACAAGUUCUACUAUCACAGACCAAUAUGCUCUGUUAGCCCUGAAAGCUCACAUAACUCAUGAUCCGACCAAUUUCUUGGCCAAGAACUGGAACACAAGUACUCCUGUCUGUAUUUGGACAUGCGUCACUUGUGAUGUCCAUAGCCAUAGAGUCACAAUCUUGAAUAUUUCUGGCUUAAAUCUCACGGGUACCAUCCCUCCUCAACUUGGGAAUCUUUCUUCUCUGCAAUCACUCAAUCUCAGUUGUAACCGACUUUCUGGUUCCAUUCCCUCCGCCAUCUUCACCAUAUAUACACUGAAAUAUGUUGGUUUCCGUAGAAAUCAGCUCUCGGGGCAAAUUCCUGAAAAUAUUUGUAGUAAUCUUCCUUUUCUUGAAAUUCUUUCUUUGUCCCGAAACAUGUUCCAUGGCGGAAUACCGUCCACUCUAUCAAAUUGCACAUAUUUGCAAACAUUAGGUUUGGUAUACAAUAAUUUCUCGGGGACCAUACCUAUAGAAAUCGGCAAUUUGACCAAACUUAAGGAAUUAUAUCUUGGCGGUAACAGGCUCCAAGGUGCGCAUGAUCACGAAGUUUCAUUAUGAAAUUUGUUGCAUAAGUUGUAAUAUGUAUAAUGUUCCAUGAUACAGUUUACACACGUUGAUUAAUUUGCAGGAGAAAUUCCGCGAGAGUUUGGCAAUCUUGCCGACUUGGAGCAGAUGUCGUUGGCGAUAAACAAUCUCCAAGGCAUGAUUUUAAACUUUUUGCAAUUUUAUUUUAGCUAUGCUUGCUUCUGUAUUCAUUCGCUUGUUCUUUGAUUAUGCGAUGAUUUAUUGUUUUUCUUUCAGAUAGAGAUAAAGCUCCAUGUCUCCCCUCACUCAUUUCAUUCCUUAAUUUAUGCAGAUAAAAAAAAAAAAAAAGAAUGUUCUGUAAUUUUCUUUUGUCAUAUUACCACUUCCAUUUUGAAGCUUCCAAUUAAGUCGAUGAAAAUGAAUGAUGUUUCAUUCUUAUUCUUGUCAGCCUAAUUCUUAUAUAAAUGAAGAGUAAAUUGUGAUUACGAUAUUCGUCAGCCAAUAAAUUCUUCUUUUUUUCCCCCCCCAAACAUGAGUGAUCAAAUUGUUUGCGCAUAUAUAAAUGUACUUAAUUUACAGGAGGUAUUCCACGGGAAUUGGGGAAUCUUACAAAAUUGGAGAUAUUACAGGUGUUCCAGAAUAACUUGACCGGUAACUUUCUUUACAAUAUAUAUACGAGACAUCUUCCGCUUUUUAUUAGAAAUUAUAAAUUCAAGUUAAAUCUUAAUUAAAAGUUUUCAAGUCUCUCAUUAUAUAUUCUCAUAUGAGGAUGUGUCGUUACCACUAUCUAACAUUAUUCCGUUUUUUAUUAGAAAUUAGUUUGUGUUAAUUCAAAAUUCUGUAGCAUUUAAAAAAAUUAAAAACACGUGGAAUAAAUUGUUAAUCUUUCUUCUUUACUGAAUUUGGAUUUCUCAAAAAUAAUCUUGACAAGUAUGCUUCACUAAUGAUAUGCAUGUGUGACAACUUCAUAAAAUAUUUUACAUGGAAUCACUAAUUAUCUCUAAAGAUGCCAUCAGUGAUAUAUAAUUUCUUAACAAGCACCAUACCAAAAGAAAUCAACAAUUUUAUUAAUCUUAAAGAGUUAAAUCUUCACUGCAAUUAUGACAUAAAUUUUUAGUCAUCAAUCGCAUAGUAUUUUAUCUUAACUGAUGAUGAUGUUCAGUCUUGGAAUUUAUAAUAUCUUGAAGGUUAGUAGCUUUGAAAAUAAGAAAUUGUUCAUUUGCUAAAAAGUUAACUUAGUAUUUAAGUUUUCCAAUUGAAAAUUUUGAAAAAAGCGUUGAGAACUGGCACUCCAUAGUAUUUCAGCGGAUAAAUAUGAAAAAUAGGCUAGAAGAAAUUAUUUUACUUUAAUAAGAGUUAAAAAGAUAGGACAAGUACAGUACUCAUGACUUAGGCUUGCUGUGUGUGCUUAUUCCAAUUGGGUUUUGGGCUUGAUUACACCUGUUAUAAUAAUGAGCUUUUGCUUUCACCGCACACUAAUAAUUUCCUAACCUUCCAUUUAGGUUAUAGAAAUUUAAAUAUAAAUAAUAAAGCAUACUAAAGCUAGCAUUGAUGUACGGAUGAGUGGCGUCAAAAGUGUAUCUGUUUUUAUGUAUUAUUUAUUCUCUAAAACAAAUCUGAAUACAAUUCUUUCAAAAUACCGAUGAAAUAGAACAUGAAAUCGGAAAUAUUUUAUUGCGAUGAGAAUUCGUAUAUUAAUUGUAGUAGAACAUAUAAAAUAGAGUAUAAAUUUAUUAUUCUUUGAAGCAAACCUGAUUAUAAUUCCUUCAAAAUUAAGUUUGUCAUUAAAUGAUUUCUCAGGAGCCAUACCAAAAGAAAUCCGGAAUUUGACCAAACUAAAGCAAUUAUCUCUCUACAGUAACAGGCUCCAAGGUGCGCAUGAUCACAGAGUUUAAUUAUGAAAAUUGUUGCAUAAAUUAUAUGGAUAUCCUUAAUAACCGCAGCAAGCAAACAAAAUCAAAUAAAAGCUAACUGAGACUCGAAUAUCCUAAACCCUGAAAAGGAAUGGUAAUGGUAUAAUAUGGAUUCUGUAGGCAUAUUUCACUGGACUCAACAUUUAUGGUUAAUUUACAACUCUUUGUUGGAAAGUCUGAGAAAUUGCUCUAUAUUAGGGGUGGGGAAAAUAAUGCUAGGCCACGAAUUUCAGGCAGAAUCCAGAUUGGGCCCAAUUAGACUUAUAGCUCAGCUCUGUGUCGAUAUCUGGGCCUUUACAAAUAAUUAAUGGGCCAAUUAAUAAUAAUAGAUAAAUUGAGAAGGGUGCGAGUGAAAUUAGAUAUGAAUGAAUCUGCCAGUGUAUGUACACAUUUUUCUAAUUAAUGCAUUAUGAGCCUGCCGCUGCCAGCAUGGAAAUUACAGAAACUAAGGAGAGAAUUGACCCAUUAAUUAAAUUAAAAAGAAUACUGAAUAUAUAAGCAGUCAAAAUAUAGGUGAAGUAGGCAUGAAUUGUCACAUAACUAAAUUUGAGAGUAAAACCGUGACUUGGGUUUGAAUGUUUGAUUAAGUUACUUCUAUUUCUAAGUUGCUUAUUUUGCGUGGGCUUCGGGCUUAGUUACACACGGUCGAACACUUACACAGUUCCCCUGACAUAGGCUUUCACUUUCACCACACAUUUGAUAAUUUCUUAGCCUUCCCAAUUAGUUUAUAGUAAUUUAUAUAUAAAUGACUAAAGCAUACAAAAGCUACCAUUGACGUACGGAUGAGUGGUGUCAAAAGUGUAUCUUCUUUUAUUUAUUAUUGUCCUAUGAUACAAAUCUGAAUAAUGGAAUAUAAUGCUUUGAAAAUACCGAUGAAAUAGCACAUGAAAUCGGAAAAUAUUUUACUGCAAUAAGAAUUCAUAUAUUCAUUGUAGUAGCACAUAUAGAAUAGACUAUAAAUUUAAUUUUAAAAUACAUUCUUAUCUUCAUAUAAAUUUUACAUUACUAAUUUAAAUUAACAUUAAAAUAUGUUGUUUCUUUCACUAUGUUAUUUUAUUUACACAAAGAUGUGACUAUUGGAAUUAAUAAUACUUAUGAUUAUUUUGUAAAAAUUAAAUUUAAUACUUUGUUAACAUUUUAUCUACAUAUAAUAAUUAAACUGAAACUUGUAUUUAAAAAAUUCUAGUUACGCAUAUUCAUUUCACGACAUAAAAGUGUAUAUUUAUGCUAAUUUACCAUUAUCAACAAAAUGCUUUAGACAAAUAAUCUAAUUUAUAUUUUUAUAUUUAAAAUACUUGCAUUUAUUAUAUUUUGAAAAAAAUGUAUUUGCAAUUAUUUUAAACCGUUGGAUUCAAAUUUUCGUAGUUAUUAAAGUCAAAGGGUAUAAAUGUAUAAUAGUCAAAAAUAGAUUUGUAUGAUUAUUUUCAAUGUAUAAAUUUUCUUAGUUAGUAGGAAAAUUAGAAAUUGUUGAUUUACUCAUAAAUAAAUUUAAUGUUUAGCAUUUCAAUUUUGGAAAACUUGAACUAAAUGUUGAUAACUUCGAAUCGGUCGAGCCGAGUUUCUCUUCCUUGACCCACGGACCCAUUGAAAGUUCUAUUCGAAUUGAAUUUCCCGGUGCUUAUAAAAAGCAUUUCUUUUCCUUGUCGCAUUAAUUUAUUCACAAAUGAGUUGAUUAGCAUCGAAGUUACCUGAGAGUGUGAGACCAUGCUAGUAGGAGAAAUUUGAAAAGAAAUUAUUUUACUGAAUUAAUUUAUUUUAUCUUGUUGUAACUGAAAUAUUAUUUUUUUUUUGGGCUAUCACUGGGGCUUGAUUUACUUUAAUAGUAGCAGCCACCGACUUAGGCGUUUUUUAAUUCUCACCACACAAUUUUAUCUUUUAAUUCGUUUUAACCACAUAAUCUGUCUAUCUAUCUCUCACCUAUUGGUUACUUAAAUCGCAUACAUAUUUUACCUACUAAUUUUUAUAAAUAUUAGUCAAAUAUAUUUUAUUACGUUUCUCUCGUAAUUGCUCCAAAUGUGUACUAUUAAUACUUAACCCUCCCUUUUAAUUUAACCCAAAAAAUAUAAAAAUAAAAGAAAAAGAACAUGCAUAGCAAUUUGCAUAUAACUAACAAAGAAUUGACAGUUUGUAGCCUUUCAAUACUUCACGAGUGGCUUUUCUUGUGUGUUAGUACUUGUAAUAAUUGUGUAGUGUAUAAAUGACAUUUUAUUAUUAAAGUGCGUACAUUUUUAGAUAUUACUUAUUAUUUAAAAAUAAUCUGAAUAUAAUUCUUUUAAAAUACAGGGGAGAUACCACUUGAAAUUGGUAAUCUCCAAAAUCUGGAGGAGUUGAGUCUUGGCCUAAACAAAUUAAUUGGUACUAUCCCAGUUGCAAUCUUUAAUGUGUCAACACUCAAAAUGCUUGAGCUUCAAGAUAAUUCUCUCUCGGGAAGUCUUUCGUCCAUCGCAGACGUCCGACUACCAAAUCUUGAAAAGCUUCAUUUGUGGGGUAAUAAUUUUAGUGGCACAAUUCCUCGUUUCAUCUUUAAUGCUUCUAAGCUCUCUAUACUAGCUUUGGGAGACAAUUCAUUCUCCGGUUUUAUUCCCAACACAUUUGGCAACUUAAGAAACCUUGAGUGGCUUAAUGUACAUGAUAAUUAUUUGACAACUUUAACUCCAGAAUUGAGCUUUCUAUCCUCGUUGUCAAAUUGCAAGUCUUUAACAUUUAUUGGCUAAUCAAAUAAUCCACUAGAUGGCAUUCUUCCAAGGACGUCUGUCGGUAAUCUUUCUCGUUCUUUGAAAGAAGUUUACAUGUCCAAUUGUAAUGUUAGUGGCGGCAUCCCUAAAGAGAUCACCAACUUGACCAACUUGACAACCAUUUAUUUAGGGGGCAAUAAAUUGAAUGGAUCAAUUCCGAUUACUCUCAGCAAAUUACAGAAGCUUCAAGGUUUGGGUCUUGAAUAUAAUAAAUUAGAAGGAUCAAUCCCAGACAGUAUUUAUCGUUUGACUGAACUGUAUGAGUUGGAGUUGGGUGGCAAUAAGCUUUCAGGAUCAAUCCCUGCAUGCUUCGGUAAUUUGAUUGCUCUGAGGAAACUGUCGUUGGGUUCCAAUGAGUUAACUUCUAUUCCCUUAACUUUUUGGAACCUUAAGGAUAUCUUGUACCUCAACUUUUCUUCAAAUUGUUUUACUGGCCCACUCCCAUUAGAGAUUGGAAAUUUGAAGGUUUUGGUUGGAAUGGAUUUUUCGAUGAAUAAUUUUUCAGGUGUUAUCCCAACAGAAAUUGGAGGCCUAAAAAAUCUAGAAUAUCUCUUCUUAGGAUAUAACAGAUUGUAAGGAUCAAUUCUUGAUUCAUUUGGUGACUUGAUAAGUUUGAAAUCCUUGAAUUUGUCUAAUAAUAAUCUCUUUGGGGCUAUUCCUGCAUCUCUAGAAAAACUCUCAUAUCUUGAAGAUCUAAACCUUUCUUUCAAACAAGCUGGAAGGAGAAAUUCCUAUGGGAGGAUCUUUUGGAAACUUCUCAGCUAAAUCAUUUGAGGGAAAUGAAUUAUUAUGUGGUUCACCCAAUUUACAAGUCCCGCAAUGCAAAACUAGCAUCCACUGCACAUCAUGGAAAAAAUUUCUUCUCCUCGGGAUUGUGCUGCCAUUGAGUACUAUAUUUAUGAUAGUAGUCAUUUUGUUGAUUCUAAGAUAUCGACAGAGAGGAAAACGACCAUCGAAUGAUGCUAGCAUGCCACUAGUAGCAAUGUGGAGAACGUUUUCAUACCUAGAACUCUAUCGAGCAACAGACGAAUUCAGUGAAAACAAUCUAAUCGGCAAAGGGGGUUUUGGCUCUGUUUAUAAGGCAAGACUUGGGGACAGGAUGGAGGUUGCAGUGAAAGUUUUCAAUUUGCAAUGUGGAAGAGCGUUUAAGAGUUUCGAUGUUGAAUGUGAAAUGAUGACAAGUAUUCGCCAUCGAAACCUUAUCAAAGUUAUUAGCAGUUGUUCAAAUGAAGAGUUUAAAGCGUUGGUAUUAGAAUACAUGCCUCAUGGAAGUUUGGAGAAGUAUAUGUAUUCAAGUAACUGCAUUUUGGAUAUUUUUCAAAGAUUGAACAUAAUGAUAGAUGUUGCAUCAGCUUUGGAAUAUCUGCACUUUGGUUAUUCAGCUCCAAUAAUUCAUUGUGACUUAAAGCCCAACAAUGUAUUAUUAGACGAUAAUAUGGUUGCUCAUUUGAGUGAUUUUAGCAUCGCAAAAUUGUUAGCUGGAGAAGAUCAAUCUAUGACUCAAACACAAACAUUUGCCACAAUAGGCUAUAUGGCACCAGGUUUGUCAAUACAAAAAUUUUCUAUUUCUUGUAAACUUCCUAGUAAGUUAUUUAUGUUUCAUGAUCUUCAUUAGAUGAGGAAAUUCUUAUUAAUGAUAUAUCUUACUAUUUAACUAUUGCAAUUCAUAGAGUAUGGAAGAGAAGGACGCGUAUCCGCAAAUGGAGAUGUUUAUAGCUUUGGGAUUAUGUUAAUGGAAACUUUUACUAGGAAGAAACCCACAGAUGAAAUUUUUAACGGAGAAAUGUCAUUAAAGCAUUGGGUUAAUGAUUGGCUACCUAUUUCCACUAUGGAAGUUGUUGAUGCUAAUUUACUAAGUCAGGAGGACAUACAUUUUGUCGCAAAAGAGCAAUGUGCGUCAUUUGUCUUCAAUUUGGCUAUGGCGUGCACUGUGGAAUCUCCUGAGCAGAGAAUCAACGCAAAAGAAAUUGUAAAAAAGCUCUUAAAAAUUAGAGACUCAUUACUUAGAAAUGUUGGAGGUAGAUGUAUAAGACAAUCAAAUUUAAAUUGAUUCUGCCCCUCCUUCCUUGCUAUCCUUUUCAGAGACUUGAACGGUUAUCCUUCAUACAAGUUUUGUUGAUAUGUUUUGUUAUUGCUCUUGCUCAUGUUUAUUUCUCUCUUUCUUUAAUUUGCAUGCAUGUAUUUUUCGUGCUCUUUUCUAUUUUUGUUGGUUUGUAUGUAGUUUGUUUUUAGGGGUAAGGUUGAUUAUGUCCUCCCCUAAUUAGACGUAUCAUGUUUAUUUUUAUUCAAUAAAGCUUCUCUAAUACUAUUGAGGUUCAUCAAAAGAAAAUUUUAAAUUAAUUUUCUUUUCUAUGUUAGAUAAUGAAAUUCUAAUCUUCAUAAUGAAUAACUUCAAUAAUAGAGUGUAAGAGUAUUAGUAGUUAUGGUUGUUUUCUGAACCUGGAGUCAAGAGCAAUUUAACAGCAACAAACAAGUCUCUUGUAUUAUAGGCAAAAUUCUUUUCAUUAAUCUUAUUUGUCUACAUGUUCUCCUAUUUCUCCAUUUAUCUUCGCUCAAGGUUUCAUGCUUCCUCUUUGAUAAAGGAAAAUGUUACUCGUGAAUAUUUCAAAUUUUCAAUUUGACAUGAGCGACUGUUUGCCAGCCAUUUGAUAAAAUGGAUAUGAGUUGAGUUUUCAAUCAUUACCUCCACCAAAAUCCUUAGUCCUUACAACGCCACUUUUUAAUUUUAUUUUUAAAUACAUUCAGUUUAAUUUAAAAAAUAAAUCCAUUUGCUAAAUUUAAUCUUUUUCUCAUAAAUUUCACCCUAAAAAAUAUAUUUCUUUUAAAUUUUUAUUAUAAAAUACUUACAAGUUCUAAACUAUUAAAUUAUUUUCUUCUUAUUAUAUAGUUUAUAUCUCCAUAACUCUAAACCCCUAUAAUUUUUUAAAAAAUAUUUUUUAAUUUAAAAUAUAAAUAUAAAAUAUAGAAUGGAGUGAGUAUAAAAAACUUGUUAAAAGAAUAAUUCAUUUAAGUAUUUAACUGAAUUUUAAAUUAAAAUAAGAAAUAAAUAAAUUUAUUUUUUAUUAGUUAAGUAAUUUUCAAUUAAAAAAGAGCUUUAUGAGUAAUAUUAUUGAAAUAUGAUUAAAAUUCUUAUGAAUUAAACAUUUUCGUAUAAAUACUAGUGAUAAUUAUAGAGAAAGUACGAUGAAGUGAAAAAAAAAAACUUAAAUAUAAAUACUCUAGUAUAAUUUUACACAUGCAACUUAUGAACCGGUGAUCUUUAGAGCAUUAUAAAAUUGUUUUAACACAAUUAAUUGGUUUGAAAAAUUACCAAUAAUGUCGACAGUGGGAUUUAAAAGAUUAAACUACAUAUAUAAGACAUAAUAUCAUUUAAAACGGCUUACAGAUUAUGAGAAAUAUUUUGAUCUUCUAAAUAUUUAAUAUAUCAAUUGGACUAAGUCUAUGCAAUAAAAAUUUUAAAUAAAAAAAAACCCUUUAUUUUCUUUUAAUCAUAAGUGUGAUCUUAAUUAUUAAAGUCAUUUAUUGUCCAUUACUUAUUCAUUUUUUUAAUUACCUAAAUGACAUUGAAAACUCUACUCAAUAUUAAUUCAUUCAAAUGUUUUGUUUUAAGGUAAUCAGAAACUGCAAAUGAAACAAAUGCUUGAAAUCACAAACGGCCUAAAAUUUUAUUUUCAUUUUUCAAUGUUGCGGUGACUUGGAUCUUGAUAUUGAAAAUUUAUUUGUAACUUAUAUAAAGGCCUCAAUUUUAUCAUAAUUGGUUAGUAAGGCUACGUAGGGAGCAUGGACAAAUUUUGGGAUUGGAUUAUAUUUUUGGAACUAAAAAAUUAAUUUCAUCCAAUGAUAUGUUUGGCUGUUAGGACUAGCAACUUAGUCUAAAAUUAUUGAAAUUAUUAAUCUUUUAUAUUAUAAGCUUUUCGUUCCCACUUUAAAUAUUAUUGGUAACUUAAAUCAUUUUUUAAAAUUAAAUAUAAAAAUUAAUUUAAUUCAAUAUAAAAAUCAUUUAAAUUAAAUACAAAAAUAUUUAAAUUAAAUAUUAACAUUAAUUUCAUAAUUUUUUACCUAGAAUUUUAUAUUAUAUUAAAUACUAAAAUUCUAUUCGAUAAUGUAUUAUCAUUUAUUUAAUAAAUGUUUAGUAUGUUAUAUUAUUAUUUAAAUUAAUUUUUUAUUUACAUAUAAACAUAAAGUAAUAUUUACUAAUUUAAAGUUAUUAUAAUUUGUUAAAUAAUAAAAGCUAAAUGAUUAUAUUGAAAAUAUAAAUAGUAUUCUAAUGUAUUAUAGUCUAAAUCUUACCCCUAUGAGUUUAUUUUAUACACCUUUUAUUGUAUUAACCACAUUUAUAAUGCAGUGCAAUGUAAUAAAAAAUUAUAACCAAAUAUGAGUUAGCAUGAAAAUAAUAUUUUAGUGCAAUAUAAUACAAUGUAAUGUAAGCUAACAAAUGGAUAUUUAAUGGAAGCAAAAAUUGCAUAUGGCUUGUGCGUCUCUUCAAAGACAACAAAAAAACCAAUAUGAUACACGAUUUUUGUCCUCUUUAAUGGUGUCUUUACUAAAUGGGAAUCAGAAUAAGUUAGAAUUAGAAUGAGCUUGAAUCGAAAUAAGGAAUUAGAAUCAAAAUAAGUUGUUUAUUUAAGUUGUAUGAAUCAGAAUCAAAAUAAAUUUUAUUCAAAUUGAUGUGUUUAUUUUCUCUUGAAAUUAGAAUGGACUAUUACAAGUUACUAAAAAAUCAUUUGGUAAUUGUUGUCUCUAGUAUUAUUUGUAUUUGUUAUAAUGGUAACAAUAAUAAGAAUAAAAAUAAUACUAAAAAUGAAAAUAAUAAUAAUAGUAGAGACAAUAAUAAUAAAAUUAAUAAAUUAUUAUUAUUAUUAUUAUUAUUACUACUACUACUAUUACUACUUCUGAAGACCACUCGGUGAAGAUUGAAUAGUGAAAAUGAAGAUGAUGAAGAUCUCGACGAACCAACUGCUGUUCCAAAGAUGAUGUGUCCAAAUGGAGACAACCAAUGAUGACUAGCCAACUAGAUCCCAAUCUCGAUGUUGUGAUCUCGUAUGACCACAGAUAAAGCUAUGUGUGAUGUUGGUGUUAUGAUUUAUUUUUUAUUUAUAUUUUUUAAUUUAUCAGUAUUUUCAAAUUUUUGUAAUUUUAAUAUGGGCAAAUUAGAUAGUCCAGUGAAUAGGAGACUGAUUCCUAACCAUCCUAAGAAUUAGUCUCUCAUUUUUUAUUUCUAAUUUGAUGUGGGUCCUGCUAUUUCGAUUCCAAUUCUUACAUUUAUUUGUGAGAUAAAAUUAUGGUGCAACUGUAGUACCAUUGGAUCCAGGCAUAGUUAUCACCAUGACUGAAUCUAAUUGUUGAAAGUAAUUGUGGUAUGAUACCACAGUUGCACCAUAGCUGGACCUUUAUUUGUGAAGUAAAAUGAUGUUAAUAAUUUCGAUUUCCAAUUCGAAAAGUAAAUACAUCAUAAUAUUUUUUUAGAUGCUUCCAUGGCAUAAUCUCAUUGGUCCAUUUUUCUCCACGCCUUAGAUUCAACUUCAAGAUUCAAGAUUCAAGAUUCAAUUUGAAGCAAACACAACUAAGUGCCUGUUUGGUAUGGCUUAUUUAAGAGUCAUAAGUGCUUAUUUAAUCGCAUAAGCACUUUUUAAAAAAUUUUAUGGUGUUUGGUUAUUUUUUUAGUAGAGUUUUUUUAGCUUAAAUAAGCUAAUUUACCUCUACUAGUAAAAGCCCAAAAUUUGAGCUUUUGGGAGUAGAGGUUAGAGAGCUUAUCUAAAAAAUAUAUAAUAAAAAAAAUAUCAUACAGUUUAAUGAUUCAAAAGUGUUUUUUUUAUUGACAACCAAACACCCAAUGACUUUUUGUCCAAAAACUCUAUUGGUAUAAACUCUACUGCUAUAAGCUCUAUUGUUAUAAGCUCUAUUUAAUAAGCUGUACCAAACGGAGCCUAAAAAACAAAUAUAAUAAGCGUUAAUAAGCCUGUGGCUGACUGGCUGUGGCCAAGCAAAUGUAACUCAUAGUGACCGAAUCAUAUCUUAUUAUCUUACGCCAGAAGCUAAACAAUGUUCCCAUUCCACGUGUCACUCUCUGACCAAUCCCUGAACUUUCUUCAUAUUUCCAAAGAAACCCUCACCAAGUCAAGAUAAUUACCUUCACUCUACUCAUAUAAAAACUGUCCUCGAUUCGACUGAUGUCUGAUGACGAUAUAUCCUUAGUCUUUAUUUAAAAGGGGAAAUUAUAAAAAAUUCUCCUCGUUCCCUAAAAAUCUAGGGUUUCUCAAGAAUCGCUAAACCUAGAUCCCAAUCCUUCAAAAUCUCAAUUUAACCUCUCUAGGGUUUCAAUUGUCAAGGAUUCGCUUCAAAAUUUAGUAUUUUUUUAGGGGAUUUUGCUUGUCUCGUAUCCUUCAAUUGUUGUUCGGUUCUGAAAAUAAUUUGGAAUUUUAGGGAUUUUCAGAUUAUUUGGUUUUGCUUGAGUGCAUUUUCCUCUAGUUACGGUUUCAGUUUGAAGGGUUAAGUGCGAUUUCGAAUAUUGUUAUAAAAUUUAAAUUAAAAUUCAUAAAACGAUUGGGCGUUUAAUAAUUAAUUGAUGGCUAGCGAUACUACAACGGCGGCCGCAGCUGCGGAAGAAGCAGAGGCGGUGGAGGAGUAUGAUAGCGAUCCAGAUGAAGUGAAACGCUCUCUUGCGAUGCGCAGAAGGGAAGCCAGCGAUGAGGAGGUUGAGGAGGAUAAAGAUUCAGAGCUUCCAAUAGUUCAAAGUGUCCACAUUCCUGCAGGAGAAGCCGAGGCUGUGGAUGAGUAUGAGAGCGAUCCAGAUGAAGUGAAACACUCUCUCGUGAUGCGGAGAAGGGAAACAAGCGAUGAUGAGGAGGAGGAUAAAGAAUUUGAGCAUCGAACAAAUCGUAGGGUCCACAUUCACUCUUACAUUGAAUCUGCUGGCCAAGGUGGUGCUCCAGCUGAGUAUGAUGAUGAUGAUGAUGAAGAAGAGGAACAUGACAGAGAAUUGGAGGAAGAAGAAGAAGAUGAAGAAGGGGAUGUUUAUGAGGCCGUAGAGGAAGAAGAAGUUUAUGAAGAAGAGGAGAGGAAUGAUGGGGCGGUUAAAGUCAAAGGAAUAGAGGGUAAUGAUGCAUGAGGAGUACGGAGGGUGCAGUGGAAGUGAGUAAAGGGAAUAAUGAUAAUGGCAAUGGUGCUAAAAGAAUGAUGCAGCAGAGGAGGGAAUGGAGGAAGAGAAGAAGGAGAGUAAUGAGCCUUUUGCACAGCAACUGGGGCUUUUUAUAUGGGACAAUGUUGCAGGUCGACACAGGUAUUAUUUGAUUUGAGUGACAAUUUAUAAAUAGCUAAUAGCUGUACUUUCAUUAGGGCUUGUCAAUUAAUCCAGUCUUGUUUUUUGGUGCUGUAUAAUGAUUGUUUGCUGGAAUCUGUGUAGAAGGCUUUUGGCCUAGUAGGUUGAAAGGAGGGAAAGUUCUCAAAUAAACAUCUGUGCUUUGCGGAAUAUAAUUAAUAGGUACAAAGCAUACUAAAUUACUUGACUGAUAGAUGCCGAGCUAAUCAUGAGCUAUGAUAGCAUUAUCCGUGCUUUGUGUAUUUUUAACAGGGCUUGUCUAUUUCAAAGUGUGUAGUGUAGAAUUUUUGGGUUUAGUUUGAGUGAUGAAGUGUUAGAUAGGUUUCUGUUUGGCAUAGUUAAGUGGUUAAUACGAGCUAUUGAAGCAAAUAUGGAGUAGGAUAUCUAGUUUUGGGUUUGGUCUUAGUUUGAAGAUGGCUACUGAUUAUGCAGCUAGGUACGUAUUAGUGUUUGUGGAUUGCUAAAUGCUUUCUGUCAAAUGUGACUAGAUUAUUACUUGAAGUGCAUGGAUCUUACACUUAAUUAAUUAUAUAUCCAUUUGUAAUGUUCAAAAUGAUCAUGUACUAUUGCUUAAAAUUAUGUUUUCAAGACAUCAUUUUGAAUCCAUGGUUGUAAUGUGUCUCUAAAUUCAGUAAUACAAGUUCUGUCAAUUGCUGUCGGAUGCAGUGACUUGAAUAGUUUAAUAUUCAUUUGCAGAAAAAAUUUGAGAAAGAAAACUAAAAAUUUCUGUGCGUUCUGCUGGAAAUUUAAUUAGCUUCAUUUGAGCAUUAAUUGCUGGCAUUAUCUCUUAGAUUUCUCUUGCAUUGAAUGAAUGGAUGAGUGCUAAUCCAUGCAAAGACUUCCAUGCAUACACAAUGAAUGCUUCAUCAAAGGUAUGGUAAAAUGUCAACACGCUUUGCCCAAAUUAUCAAGCUGGUGUGGUGGCUGCUAGAUUUGUUCAUCCGGAUUUUGGACCAUUUUCAUUGACAAUGAGAAAAGCUGCAAGAUCUGUAAAUCGGAAACUCAUUAAAGUGCCAAAAGAGAGAUGGAAUUGAAUAACUAGAGAGUUAGUGAAAAGAGGGUGCAGUGAUUGUGUGGGAAGCUUUGGGUAUACUUGGGGUUUGGAUGUGAGAUAAAAUAAUUUGAGAGAGAGGUUGUAUCAAUUUUUUGGUAAUAGAGUUUUUCAGGUAACUCUUGUGUUGUGUGAUUGGAGUAUUCUCUAUUGUAUUUUUUUAUUUGUUAUUUAUUUGACGUAUUGCUAGCGGAGAUCUUUGUCAAUUGUUUUAAACUCUAUUUCGAACAGAGCAUGAAGGGAUUCACUUAUCUGAUUAUGUCUUUUAUGCUUUAACUUCACUUGAUUUCAUCUUGUUUGUCACUUUUAAUAAAGUUGUAUAUGUUGGAGUAUUAGGUUCAUCACAGGGAUCAUAUUACGGCUAAGGAAGGGGCACAGUUUAUCAGCUGCACUCAAGUGUAGCAGAGUAUUUGGAUUCAAGACUGUUCGAAGGUUGUUACAAUGCAAGGCUGUUGCUGUGUAACUGUAUGCCAUUCUCGCAAGUGCACUCUUAACAGAUUGCUGAGCUGGCACCGGAUGUUUUUAGCUAAUAUUAGUUAUUGGUCUAGAGUGUUCUGAUUUAUUCUAUAAGUAGCUCAUUUGAGCUUAGAACCUUUAUAGUGUAUCAUACGU
Molecule: long non-coding RNA, 21388 nt
Filed under: Citrus maxima (pomelo)
Lineage: Eukaryota; Viridiplantae; Streptophyta; Magnoliopsida; Sapindales; Rutaceae
Description: long non-coding RNA (CMAX_LNC000185)
Source: RNAcentral